GCGGGCGUAGCUCAAGGGUCAGAGCAGUUGCCUUAUAAGCGACCGACCCGGGUUCGAGUCCCGGCGUCCGCACCU
RNAcentral lists this transfer RNA (75 nucleotides) under Hyphomicrobiales bacterium. Its description in RNAcentral is "Rhizobiales bacterium tRNA-Ile". It matches the Rfam family "tRNA". Rfam says of the family: Transfer RNA (tRNA) molecules are approximately 80 nucleotides in length. Their secondary structure includes four short double-helical elements and three loops (D, anti-codon, and T loops). The record is from RNAcentral. Lineage: Bacteria; Pseudomonadati; Pseudomonadota; Alphaproteobacteria; Hyphomicrobiales.